Molecule: long non-coding RNA, 5250 nt
Organism: Podarcis muralis (Common wall lizard)
Lineage: Eukaryota; Metazoa; Chordata; Lepidosauria; Squamata; Lacertidae
Source: RefSeq, a predicted model, not a curated record
GGGAGACACUGAGGGAGGGAGGGAGUCUCCACCGUUGGUGAGGGGGUUAUCUAAUAACCGUUUUCAUAUUGAAAGGAGAAGCGGCAUAAGGGUUUGUUGAUAUAGGGGACAGCAGCGUGCGCGAUACCCUGUUAUUAUUUUGUACGUCUGCUUUUCAUUUUACUUAAGCACCGAAAGCGAAAACAUGUUGGUUGAAUUUCCUCGACGCAAGGAGAAAUUACUGCCGUUCCUUUAUUUACUUCUCAGCGCUGACGCUGGAGCCCAAUUCCAACAUGGCUCGGUUUUAAACUGGCGAGGUGGCAAAUCUGUAUUGUUUAUUGUUUUACCAAAGAGAUUGUAGAAUCGUAAAGCUGGAAGGGACUUCCAAGGGUCAUCUAGUCCAACAGCCUGCGACUCAGGAGUCACAACUAAGGAAUCCCAGAGAGAUGGCCACCUCUGUUUAAAAACAUCCAAUGAAGAAGAGAGAGGCAUGUUGUACAUACCGGUAAUAAUUUAGUAACAAUUCGGAAGUUAGCCAGGGGUUACUGGAGGGAGAAGGCUUUUUUCUGCACAGGUGUCCAGACUAAAUAAGAGAUAGGGAACCUACAGCCCUCCAGAUAUUGUGGGAUUACCGAUCCCAUCAUCCCCAGCCAGAGUGGCCAAUGGUUAGGGGUGAUGCCAGUUGUGCUCCACCAGCAUCAGGAGGACCCUACUUUGGCCGCCUCUAAGAAAUGCAUGACAGACAGAAUCACACCAGGGGCAAUAGAGUUGCAGAAACCGACAAUUGCCCAAAUGUUUCUUUCUAUGUUACUCUUAAAAGUGAACCUAGCAGAGGCUGGGACUGUUAAUCUUUAAUCAUAUCAUAUCUAAUCUUUGAAUGGUUUCCAGAGAGAGACUAAUAUCCGUAGACUGGCCUUGCAGACAUAAGAAGAGCCUGCUGGAUCAGGCCAAUGGUCCAUCUAGUCUAGCAUCCUGUUCUCACAGUGGCCAUCCAGAUGGCUGUAGGAAGCCAGCAAGCAGGAUUUAAGCACAAGAGCACUGUCCUUUCACUGUGUUAUCUACCAGGCAGUCUCAUCUGUUGACUAUGAGGAACAUGAAUUUAAGGCAUAAUGCAUUCCAGAAUAAAUUCUGGUUUGCCAGUAACAAGAUAUCAUUCAUUUGGCAUAGGGUAAGGCAGCACCAGACCCAUGGCGAGAAAGGGGUACUACUAACAGGCAGGGAAAUGUGGAGCCCAGUUCUAGCCAUGUUUAGUUAUCUCACUGGUUUCAUUUGAAUUUGCUCCAAUGUAAGCAUGGACAGUAUUGCAGCCAUUCAUCUUCAUGUUUAUUAUUGGGUUCAAUUGUUCUUCAGUUUUCUGCCGCAAACAGCCUAACCCUAUUUAUCUGGUAAUAAGCCCUACGUAAUUUAAUAGGACUCACUUCUGAGUGGACAGCUCAUAAAAUUAAUGCAGCAUACAAUUUUCAUAUGUUUACUACCUUUAAAUCUACAUGCAAAAUCAAAUACCAGCUGAUUUAGGGUUGUGGAAAACUUUCCAGAAAUGUUUAUGGAAAUUUUCACAAUUUAUUCCCCCCCGCCCCCGCCAGUAAGCCAACAUCACUAACUGAACUGAUGCCUUUCUUACUGGGCUUAUUUUAAUAUUAAUACAGGGCAUACAUGUUGAAAAUGACCCCUUUGUUUGAAACAGUACAGUUGUCUUUUAAAAUCUUGCCUAGAACUGAAGAUUUAUGCUGGGCAGAGAUCUGAUUCUAGGGUGAUACCAAAUCACCUUCUGAGGGAAGACCAAUACACCCCUCCGGCUACGUUGGGUAUCUCUAAUCCUGAGGAAAAACCAAGCAUGCUUGUCAUAUUUAUAGAGACUCUUUACUCACAUUAGCAUGCCAUGGCUGAAAAAAGCAUUAACCACCAGAAACAGCGCUGUCACCAGCAAUAGACACUGAUGCAAGUCCUAGAAGGACAGGGAUUAAUGUACUUACUUAAAAUUAUAAUCUAUCCUGAGUCACAUGGAUGGUUUGGGCUAUAAAACAAAAAUAACUGCAUGUCCUAGUGAGCCACUUGUUUGGCAAGGUUGCCCAGGUCAGACCCCAAUGACCAUGUGAGUCAAAUUCUCCUUUCCCAGCAUUUAAUUAGGAUGGUCCUAUUGAACCAGUAGAAUUGCUGGGAAAUUUUCCGGAAAACCUCUCAGCCACUGAUGAGAAAUGUCAGUUAUUCUUGGGAACUCCUAAGGUUUGAGACAGUAGCACCCGCAAAUUUUGGAUCAGAAGAAAUAAAGACAAGUUAAUAAAAUGUUGCUGGCUGGUCUCCAAAGACUUCCAUAGACACGGUCUAAAAAACUUUGGUUAUCCUGAGAGAGCAAGCAGAUGACUGACGACUAGCUGUGAGGGAAACGCUGUGUGUUCUCAGCUUCUCCAUAGGUCUGGCAGGCACGUUGUUUCAUUACUAAAGUCCUGGAGCAACUUUUAAUAUCAUUCAGGAUGACACAAGCCAUUUUUUAUGAUGAUAAAUGGUCUAGAAUCACCACCAAAGGAAACAUGUAAGGCUGGUGACACAUUUAUUGUUACCAUGGCUGCUCCUGGCUGGAGAUUACUUAUUAAAAACCAGCAAGAGGGCAGCAGUAGACAGCUGUUUGAAGGGACCAGAAUUAUUCCUGCUCUCAGACACAAUCAUAGCCAGAAUGAGUGAGAGGAACUUUCUGCCUUCGGCGAAACUAAUAAAUGAAAAUAUUACUUUAAGUGGCAAGGGGUAGGAGAGUUUCCCCCCACCCCCUAGAUUUGGAUCAUAUCUGAACCUUCUAUGUGGAACAAAUUGAAUCGAUUGCAAUCUGAUUUUACAAUAAUGUUUUCUUGUUUGAAAUAAUACCUUUAUUUGAGCAAAUGCAUAUUUUAAACCAAUUAAUUCAAAGUGUUCUUUCUUUGGCUAUGUUUGUACUUCAGGGCUGAACUACAUGAGCCAUAUCUCUUUUUUAUUCUGUGGAUUUAUGCAUUUUUAUUUUUGGCUAAGCUACAUUAGUUUAUCAGCCUUCUCUAAUCCCAGUUUUAAAUGUGGACAAUCAAUUCUGUGGUGCAUUUCUAAGAGGUUUUGUGUCAAUUUUGAAAGCAGUGGCAAUGAAGCCUCUGGUUCCUGAGUUGGCUGAGCUACUGUGAGGUUUAACAGUUUCUGUGAACAUUCCAUCUGCUGAGGGAGAUUAUUAGGCUGUGGCUUCAUAUUGCUCCAACUUUGCCAGAUGAAGUAAACAAAACAAAACAAAAUCUCUCACAUGGAGAAUGUGGACUGGAAAGCUCAGCAAGAAGAGGUCCCAGGAGGAAGCAGCACUCACAGGUGCCCUGGUGAAUGACAUAAUCACGCCGGACCAUCAAGCUUGCAGAUCACCAAAUUGCGAGGGGAAGAGAGGCAAGAUCCAUGCAGAUCUGAUCCAAAAAACCAACCUUGGAGAGUCCAAUCCACUGCAUGGAUGGCAGGUGUAUGCAAAAUAUGAAAAUGAAAGGAAAUUGUUCAGACCUGGGGAGUAAUAAGCUUAUUCUAAUUAUUCUCCCUGCAUCUGGGCAGAACAAAAUCUUGCAUCCACUGAGCCCCACUGGGACCAAUUUGCAGCCCCAGCAGGUGUAUCCAAUUGGUAUAAAUUAGCUAAGGCACAACAGUAGACCUUUGCUAGAUACAGCAGGAGUUCUGAAGCUGAGGUUUGCAAGCUCCUGCUUCACCUAUCCACCCAUCCGUCCCUUGUACUCUGCUUCCUAUUCUGCCUCUCCCUAUUUCUCCUUCCCAACUAAAGCCUGGCUACAACAGAACCUCUACAAGGGAGAAUGAAUGAGGAUCAUCUGGACCUGUCAAGUAAUGGUAAGCUCAAUUAUUAGCUGUGUGUGUUUCUAGGGAAUGGAGGACAUGGAACAACACCCUAAUUAGAAAUCAUUGGUGUUCCGCCUGUUAAUUGAGGAUAUUUUAAUGGGUGGGCUUAGUAAACAUGCCUAGAUAAGAGAUUUAAGUGCACCCUAGAACUGCUGGGGUACAACUUCUUCACCUUCAGAAUCACUGCUUAAGGUGAGAAGCAACUUCCUGGGCAGUUGGGGAAGUCUGUAGAGGAGCUACAGGUAGCUGGGAUCCUGGUUCUCCUGAGGUCACAGAAGUAUGUGCUCAAGAAGGAAGGUCUGUUGUCUGGAUUACUGGUAAGCUGCCUCGCCCAAGUGACAGCUAAUAUAGCAAAUGGCAGCACAGGCCUGGCUGUGUCCAACUGCUUCUUCAGCAAAUGUCACCCUUUUCCUGCCCAACUCUGGGGAGACUACAGUGUUUAUGUUCAAACACAAAACAAACUUUCAAGUACUCUAUCCUAGGGUUUAAUAGCAAAGCCCAAACUGGUAAUUGAAAAUUAUUUAUUCAUGACCAGAUAAGAGUCACUCACAUUUUCUGCCAAAUUUACCCAUAAUGUUUAUGCCCCAUUUUCAAGCUCUGUAAAUUUUAUGCUGAAGCUGAUGCACGAUGGCACUAAACCAGAUAAGAGAGUCUUUCUUCUGGCAUCACUCGCUUCUCAUUAAUGUCACGAACACGCUUACAACCUGGAAAUUCAUUUACUGCUGGCAGUGCCCAGUGGCUCCCUCAGUUGCUGGGAAAAUAAGGAGACCCCCUUAAUAAAAGUGCUACAAAGGAAGAACAGCUGGUUUAGAAUAUAUCUUUACCAGGCAGGCCACAUCCCAAGACCCACUGUCUGCAAAAUGGGAUGAGAGGUCUCUAAUAUACCUGGGCUUCAGGGCACUUUCUAUUGAGCGGUGCAGAAACUGGGAGAGUGCAAGGGAAGUUUCCUAUGGAAAAGGCAGUCUGGGCCAGUUCCCCAGAACACAUAGGGCCCUGGAGACUCACAUAUUGCUGAUUCUGCUGCCAAUUGCAAAAGCUUUGGAGGCAGUGAAUGAAUAUGCUUUUAUGUAGUAUGCAAACAUGAAAGGUGAGGAUGAUAUGUACCACGAAGCUGCCAGGCCCUGCAGGUCAUAACAAGGCACCAAAUAGGUACACCCCCCAUUGAUUGCUUUCCAGAAGAAGUGGAAACCUUUUGAAGCAUUAAGCUCCCCAAAUCCACGAAGUCAAAGUCCAGAGCAACAAUACCCACACACAGCAUUGCUGCUGGGCCUGAGAAAGUGCUACUUGCUAGCAUUCAUCUGAAACCGUGCUCAAAGGUCCUAGGCUGGGAGACAGCUUGGAGAUAAGAAAAGGGGCAAGCUUGAGCAAGCACUGAAAAAGACAGAUGUUAAAAGUGAACCCUUUCACUUGGAGAAUCCCCAAGAGCUAGUC